CGAGUGAAGAGGGAAGAGCCCAGCACCGAAGCCUGUGGUUGUUUGAUCACUAGGCAAUGUGGUGUUUAGGUUAGUUCUGCGAAGUCAUUGCUCUACUCUAAGUCCAGUUAUGAAUACGGUCUAUGGACAUGGCCCACAGAGGGUGAAAGGCCCGUGUGAGUAGAGACCUCGGCGGUGACUUCCGGAACCAACCUUGGAGUCGGGUUGUUUGAGAAUGCAGCCCAAAGUGGGUGGUAAACUCCAUCCAAGGCUCAAUACUGGCACGAGUCCGAUAGCGAACAAGUACCGUGAGGGAAAGUUGAAAAGUACUCUGAAGAGAGAGUAAACAGUACGUGAAACCGCUCAGAGGUAAACGGGUAGAGUUGAACUGCAAGUCUGAGAGAUUCAGCUAAUGAGUUUGACUUGAGCUUGGGCAUAUUGAUCUGACUUGAAGGUCUGCUUAGCUGCAGGUACCACUUCGGUGGUAAUACGUGCUGCACUUGUCAAGUGUUGCGUGCUUUCAAGUACGGAGAUCUGCUCGUUAGUGCACUUCUCUCAGAUGUUCACCACGACCGGCACUGCUGUCUGUCUGCUGUGGCUAAACCAGUUGAGCUCGGUCUUCCGACCUUGCCUAAUUGGGAUGGUAGGUAGCUUGUUGACUCUCGGGUUAACAAGUGUAUUAGCCGGUCACAGUGGAGCUGUGCAGUGUGCCGGAGACGGCGGCUGUAAGUGACGCUGAUGCAGGCUUUGUUACCGGAGUUGGAUCUGGUCACCGUGUGUCUGUUCAAGCAGUCCCAGUGAUGGUUCGGCUGUGUGUUGCAGGCUGUUUUUUGCGUUGCUGAUCAAUGAGCCAAUAGUCUGUGGUGUAGUGGUAAGCUCUCUACCCGACCCGUCUUGAAACACGGACCAAGGAGUUUAACAUGUGCGCGAGUCAUUGGGUGUAUGAAACCUAAAGGCGUAAUGAAAGUGAAGGUUCGGCUUGUCCGAGCUUAGGUGAGAUCCGGUCGUUUCCAGUGCGUGGAACUUCCAAGCAUUCGAGCGGCAGGCGCAUCACCGGCCCGUCCCAUGGUGUGGUCAUAACUCCUUGUGGGUUGUGCAUCACCGGGGUGGAGCAUGAGCGUACAUGUUGAGACCCGAAAGAUGGUGAACUAUGCUUGUGCAGGUUGAAGCCAGAGGAAACUCUGGUGGAGGACCGCAGCGAUUCUGACGUGCAAAUCGAUCGUCAAACAUGAGCAUAGGG
RNAcentral lists this ribosomal RNA (1219 nucleotides) under Opisthadena dimidia. RNAcentral describes it as "eukaryotic LSU rRNA". It matches the Rfam family "Eukaryotic large subunit ribosomal RNA", at positions 90 to 922 of the family's 3401-position model. Lineage: Eukaryota; Metazoa; Platyhelminthes; Trematoda; Azygiida; Bunocotylidae. The record is from RNAcentral.